RNAcentral lists this ribosomal RNA (253 nucleotides) under uncultured bacterium. RNAcentral's name for it is "partial 16S ribosomal RNA". It matches the Rfam family "Bacterial small subunit ribosomal RNA", at positions 524 to 776 of the family's 1533-position model. The record is from RNAcentral.
UACGAAGGGGGCUAGCGUUGCUCGGAAUCACUGGGCGUAAAGGGCGCGUAGGCGGCUUAUCAAGUCGGGGGUGAAAGCCCGUGGCUCAACCACGGAAUGGCCUUCGAUACUGGUAGGCUUGAGACCGGAAGAGGACAGCGGAACUGCGAGUGUAGAGGUGAAAUUCGUAGAUAUUCGCAAGAACACCAGUGGCGAAGGCGGCUGUCUGGUCCGGUUCUGACGCUGAGGCGCGAAAGCGUGGGGAGCAAACGGG